Molecule: non-coding RNA, 27 nt
Filed under: Mus musculus (house mouse)
Lineage: Eukaryota; Metazoa; Chordata; Mammalia; Rodentia; Muridae
Source: RNAcentral
UGAAAGAGUAGUAAACUCAGUGCUCCG